GGAUUUGCUAAUCCGGAGAAGGUAAAUGAAAGCCCAAGGUCACACAGCUAGUAGGUAGCGGAGCCGGAUUUGGAAUCCAGAGCCAGCAGUCCAAGCGUUGCGCCCCUCCAAUGUCCCCCCCCCCACCUCGAGGCCAGUCACGGGCCUCACCCCGGGAACCCCCUUAACGGCCGCUCUAGACGCCCCUGAACUUGCUGAACUCCGCAUCGAACUAACAAUGCUCUCCAGAGGUUCGUGUUCAAUCGGAAAGAAACCCCGGUAAAAGGCGGAGGAUGUGAGCGAUAGCAAAGCAGACCUACAGAUGAGCCCUCCAACUUUAUCCAGUGAUUCUAGCAAUGUGAGGGCCUUGUCCUUGCUGGUGCCUUAUAAACAGAAGUAUGCAACUGAUCUCCUUGGUGAAGUGACUGCUUGGU
This 413-nucleotide long non-coding RNA is filed under the name Phascolarctos cinereus (koala). RNAcentral describes it as "lncRNA (ENSPCIG00000005786.2)". The record is from RNAcentral. Lineage: Eukaryota; Metazoa; Chordata; Mammalia; Diprotodontia; Phascolarctidae.